GCGGAGGAAAAGAAACCAACAGGGAUUGCCUUAGUAACGGCGAGUGAAGCGGCAAAAGCUCAAAUUUGAAAUCGGCCCCCAGGUCGAGUUGUAAUUUGUAGAUUGUAUCUUGAGAGCGGAUUAAAGUCUGUUGGAACACAGCGCCUUAGAGGGUGACAGCCCCGUAAAAUCUAUUCUCAUUGUAAGAUACUUUCGAAGAGUCGAGUUGUUUGGGAAUGCAGCUCUAAGUGGGAGGUAAAUUCCUUCUAAAGCUAAAUAUUGACGAGAGACCGAUAGCGAACAAGUACUGUGAAGGAAAGAUGAAAAGCACUUUGAAAAGAGAGUGAAAAAGUACGUGAAAUUGUUAAAAGGGAAGGGUAUUGAAUCAGACUUGGUGCUGUUGUUCAACCRUGUUUCGGCAYGGUGUACUCAGCAGUACUAGGCCAAGGUGGGGUGUUUGGGAGUGAAAAAGAAGUAGGAACGUAACUCUUCGGAGUGUUAUAGCCUACUUUCAUAGCUCCUCAGGCGCCUCAGGACUGCGCUUCGGCAAGGACCUUGGCAUAAUGAUUCUAUACCGCCCGUCU
This 563-nucleotide ribosomal RNA is filed under the name Galactomyces sp. ZIM 2430. RNAcentral's name for it is "eukaryotic LSU rRNA". Lineage: Eukaryota; Fungi; Ascomycota; Dipodascomycetes; Dipodascales; Dipodascaceae. The record is from RNAcentral.